RNAcentral lists this long non-coding RNA (5363 nucleotides) under Daucus carota (carrot). RNAcentral's name for it is "long non-coding RNA (DCAR_LNC004647)". The record is from RNAcentral. Lineage: Eukaryota; Viridiplantae; Streptophyta; Magnoliopsida; Apiales; Apiaceae.
GAAGUCGAAGCAGUUGAUUGUGGAUGAAGAGAAGGUUGGUGAUGAUGAACACAGUGGUCAUGUACACAUUCAUACACAUGGAACACACGGCCAUGCUCAUGGCUCUGUCGUCCCUUCUGAAGAGCAAGAAGCUGGUGAUCCAGACCUUUUGAGGCAUCGGAUCAUAUCACAGGUAAGGAUAUCAAAUAUUUACUUUUUUUAACAUGUGCCCAGGAAAAAUUAGUACUAAGCAAAUUCAAUUAUGCAUUGUUCACAGGUUCUUGAGCUGGGAGUAAUCAUCCAUUCAAUAGUUAUUGGAAUUACCUUAGGAGCUUCGCAAAGUCCAGAAACAAUAAAGACUUUACUUGCAGCCUUGUCCUUCCACCAAUUUUUCGAGGGAUUGGGGCUUGGUGGAUGCAUUUCUCAGGUAUUACCAGCUAUUCCUCUCUACCAAUUACUCCUUGCAUGAUAUUACUAAAUUACCAACCUUUUGUGUAAACCUGAAACGCAAUACGAAGAAAUGAACAAAAUUUAGAUAGAAGUUCUCCUAAAGUGGCAUGGUUCAUACUUGCUUGACUAAUCUGUUCUGGUAAUAUGCAGGCAAGAUUCAGAUCUCUACAUACAAUACUUAUGGCAGUAUUUUUCUCCCUCACCACCCCAAUUGGGAUUGCUAUUGGCAUUGGAAUUUGUAGCGUUUACAGCGAAAAUACCCCCACUGCUCUGAUUGUUCAGGGGAUAUUCAACUCUGCUUCCGCUGGAAUUCUGAUUUACAUGGCACUUGUGGACCUACUAGCAGCAGAUUUUAUGGACCCAAAAAUGCAAAGCAACAUAAGGCUUCAAGUAGCAGCAAACAUAUCAUUGCUUCUUGGAGCUGGUUGUAUGUCGAUUUUGGCCAAAUGGGCUUGAAUCCACAGGUAGAAGUGCAUUAUUAGUUAAGAAAGGUUUGCAAUGAGGAAACUUAGACAUAAAUCGACUAACAAGUGGUGGUUCUGAUUAUGUACACAACUCCUUUGGAAUGAAAAGGAAACCGGAAUUGUAGUAGCAGCUCAAAUUAAUACAGGAACAAUUGUCAGAGUGUAACUGUAACCAUAUCUAUAGUUGAAAUCCAUUUUUUUUGUGAGAAUCAGUAAGGAGCGUGCAAAAUGCACUUUACAUUAUUGCUAUCAAGUUAACAUUACACCUUUUAGCACAGAGGCUUUAGAUGAAACAUUUGAAAUGAGCGUACUCCAACUACCUGAAAUCAAAUUAAGUUGUCUGUUGAAACAUACACAUAUAGACUAACACGUGGUGGUUCUAAUCAGUAUACAACUCCUUUAAAACGAAAAGAGGAAACCAGAUUUGUAUUAGCAUCUCUAACUACAUACAGGAACAGAGUUCAGAAUGUUCUGUAAUAGUAUUCGUAGUUGAAAUUCUUUUUUUUUUUUUUUUUUUUUUNNNNNNNNNNNNNNNNNNNNNNNNNNNNNNNNNNNNNNNNNNNNNNNNNNNNNNNNNNNNNNNNNNNNNNNNNNNNUCUUAAUACAGGAUCAUUCAAAUCUGGUUUUUUUUUUUUUUUUUUAAAUUUUUUUUUUUUUUUUUUUUUUUUUGUGCGCGAGUCAGUAACUAAUGUGCAGAAUGCACUUUUACAUUAUUUCUUGUAGUCAACAUCAUACCUUUUAGCAUUAUUUCUAUAGAAAAAACAAUAGAAAUGAGUUUACUCCAACAGGAAAUCAGUCAAGUUGCUUUACAUAUUCUCUGUCGCAACAAUAUUGCAAGAAGUCCUACAACAUAAACAAGAUGAUAGGAAAUAGAGAUUUUAAUCCUUCAAGUCAUCCAUGUUUGUUUCAAGGGACUGCAAUCCUUGCACUAUAAACUUAUUUCUCCUUUUAUUAUACUUUAACCUUAAGGUGUCCCGUGAAUUACAUCUCUGUCAAUCAUUUACUUCAUUUUGAAUGUGAUUAUAAUACCUAGGGCGAGGGUGGUAUUAAAUAAUACCCUUAGAAUACAAAGUGGUCAAAACUUAUUCAUGAUUAUCUUGCAAGGAAAAUAUAAAUUCAGGUACAUGAAGAUGAAACUGACCAUGUCAAAUUGAAACUGAAUGUUUCUUCAACACGGAAUUUGUUAGAAUCCUUAUUCCUGAUUCCAGGUAGCAAUAGACCACCAUCACCACUGGCACUGCAGGGAGUCCUAUAUCAUCCAAAUUGAAUAUAAAAGAUAUUAUAUACUCUUGAUAUGCAAUCCCAAAAGAAAAAAACACUUCUGAAAAAGCAUUGGGUCUCCAUAAAAGUAUCAGAAAGAUAUAUUUAUCCUUUCUUGAUGAAGCAAAUCAAGCAGCAUAUUUUUUCUUUAAAAUCGAGUGGUGUAAACUAUACCUGUUACAAUAGAGAAAUUCUAUAGAGAAAUUCCCAAAAUUAAACAUAUUGAGAGCCCUCACAGCCCAAGCACAACAACGACAGUAUAAAAAUCUUAAACAUAUGAUCUGAAACCACCCAGUGGGCCUAUAGUAAUGCAUAACCAAGAAAAGAAGAAGCUCCAAUCAAAUUGGCAUCAUGACAGAUAAAAGCAACAUGCAAUUAAUAAUCAAACAGGCAACUCCAACAUCUGUAGUGGAAAAGAGUACUACUAUUCUCUGAGGUUUAGGUUGUUAAAGUUCGAGGACUAGCAUGAUUACAGAACAUUUUGUUCUGUCAAUCAGUUCACAAAAGCAAAGAAUAAUAUCCUUGGUCGUCUAACACUGAAUUCAAUAUUAAAUAGCUCAGAAAAUAAAGCUCGAGCAAUGGAGGACCUUUACUACGGAAUGAUAUGCUUCUAAAGUCAGCUAUUUGUAAGGUGAAAAGUUCAGAAUUGAAGUUUUUUCAGUAAUCCAAAGGUCCCUCCAUUGUUUAGAGGCAAGAAUUCCAGAAUGGGGCAAUAGAAUUAUUUGCUUUAUGAUAGUAGUUGAGAACUAAAUCUCGCAUAUAAUAUAGAAGUCGUAUACGUCACAGUUAUUUAUUGGUAAGCAAAUGUAUUUAAAGUAUUUAGGACAUACUUUCCUGUUAUUCCAAUAUGUUCAAAGGAAUAUAUAAAUUAUCUAUUAGUGUAGUCAAAUUUGCUCUUCACGUUCUGGUGAUACUAAACCUAUACCUACGUAACUAAAUAACAGAUUGUCAACAUUAAGGUCAUGCAAGAACUAUAAUGUUUGUUUCACCAUAGUCUUAGCUAGGAAGUCUAUACAUGCAAGUACUAGAGAGAUUUUAGCUUGAGCUUUUGAAAUAAAUUAGGCAUCUUUAUAAAGAAUGUUAGUUACUUCAUAAAAUGAUCUUGGUUGAGACAUUGUAAGCUUCAAACUACUAUCUGUUAAACACUUGAUGAACAUAUAAUGUACUUGCAGAAUUGCUGUCAAGAACAUUAUUUUUCUUUCUCUAAUGGUACUAAUAGUCUAAUAUAGAUAUGUACAGAUAUCAUCAUAUGAAGUGAAUCAUGAUGUGGAAGCCCAAAUUUAAGCUGAAAUCUGUACAUAAAACCGGUGAAGGCCUGAAGGGUAUAUACUUAAUUCACUUUGUGUUAGAUUUACUUCGGAGGGUGGGCUUACAUAUAUACGCUAAACUCUAAUGGAAAGUGCAACAUGGAAUGGAAUGAGGGAGAAAUAGCCCUUAAACCCUUUCAUCAUAAAUAACCGAUCCCACCCCAGAAGGAUCCUCCCAACCGAAAUCAUUCAUAUUUUUGCUGAUAUUAUUAUAAUUUAUUUCUAUAAUUUGGUGAAUCAAAGAGCAGCAACAAAAACAGAAAUAGAGCAUGUUAGAAUACAAAACACAAGCGGCACAACCAUCUAAACAACAAAUAUGAUUUAAUUUUCCACUCAAGCAAUCAAAUGAAGCCCAAAAAUCUGCAGCUAUUGUAUUCCUAAUUCUAUCCGUUAAGAGUGCAACCAGGCCCGCCCAGAGGGAGGGCAACCAGGGCGACCGCCCGGGGCCCAAAAAGUUAAGGGGCCCAAAAUUUGUAUAAUUUAUGUAUUGUUAUUAGUAUAUAUAAGCCUAUUCUAUCUUAAGUGACUACGUCCAUAACUAAACUAAUGGCUAUCAUUCAUGCACUAAGAGAUAAAUGUCAUCAAACAUUUGUUUAAUCUUCUUUUUUUACAUCCGGUACACUUUAUUGUUUUAUAGUUAUUUUCUUACGGAAGUUGACUAAAAUUUGAGUUUGCAUUGCUACAAGGUCAUAUUUUAUCAAAUUUAGUAAAGUAAAAAAAAUUAGGGCCUAUUUUCUUCUUUCGCCCCAGGGCCCUCAAAAGGUAUGGAACGGCCCUGAGUGCAACCUGUAUAUAUAUGAAUUAUAUUAUCUUAUCGAGAUUUGGAAUAGAAUGAAUAUCUUAAGUAUUUAUCAAGCAUCACAUUUGAUAAGCAUAUACAACAUGUAAUUGAUGAAACCAAUUCAACAAAUACAUACACACAUGUAUAUAUAGACAUAACAAAAACGAAUUGCAAAAUAAUCACAUAUCAGAAAACACAAAAUGAGCAAAUCAUCGAGAUAUCAGAUAUGUUUGACAAUUGGGGGAUUGAAUAAAUAAUGAAAAACAGGACAAUUAAAAGACAAAUACGGUGAAAACAAAUUGAAAUAAAAAGUGAAUUAGAUCGAAAAUACGUACCUGAUAAACUGGGUGAGGUUGUUGAGAGUGAGAUUGUAAAUGAUGAUCCAGAAUUUUAACAAAACAAUGAAUCGGAAAUUAUAGUCGGAGAUGGAGAAGAUCCGUCGGGAAGAUACCAUUGGAAAAAUAGCCGUUGGAGGCGCAGUGUGAAAGCUCGCUGGCAGCAAAGCAGUAAAAGACCAGAGACCAGAGUACCGUUACUGCAAUGAUACAAGUCAUUAUAAUUUUAUCUGGCAAUUACUUUUUUUUUUUGAAAAAAAAGGAGAUAAUUCAAUAAAUAAUGGCCAUACGGCAUCUACAAGAAUGAUCGAGUCGAACAAACAUAGAAAAAAUUAACAUGCCUGUCUUCAUACCCAAGAUGAGACAAAUAAGCGAUGUUGAAAUUGACGAUGGUACAUGUAUAGAUCCUUGCUCUGUGUUCACCAUCUUUUCCAAAAACUCCGUUUGAGCUAUCGACCACAAAUGCAAUUCCCGAAAGGCUUUAUCUAUGAAUCCAAACCACUCUCACAAAAGAAGGAGAGAAAAAUCACACACUCUCACCAGGGAGAGAAAUCAAAUUAUAAUCAAAACAAACUAAAACAAUUAGAUCUGCACCACGAUGCUUAGGAGAUAAUCGAUCCACUCACAAAUCCAAAAAGGCCUCUGGAUGCGAAUAAGAACGAAAAUCGAAAGUUUCGGUGAUAUAGAUCUAAGAAAACUUUCCCCGAAGAUGGAGAUUUAUUAAGAAACUCAAUGAAAAAGCAAGAACAAUAAAAAACUAGCAAUCAAACGAAAAGAUUUGGGGCUU